This 711-nucleotide ribosomal RNA is filed under the name uncultured marine alveolate. Its description in RNAcentral is "SSU rRNA". It matches the Rfam family "Eukaryotic small subunit ribosomal RNA", at positions 617 to 1334 of the family's 1831-position model. The record is from RNAcentral.
GGUAAAAAAGCUCGUAGUUGGAUUUCUGUUGAAGACGACCGGUCCAUACCACGUAUGCGCAUCUGGUUCGGCUUCGGCAUCCUCUCGAAAGACGUUUCUGCGCUUGAUUGCGUGGAGCGGAUCUCGGGACUUUUACUUUGAGGAAAUUAGAGUGUUCACGGCAGGCUAUCGCCAGAAUACAUUAGCAUGGAAUAAUACUAUAGGAUCUCGGUUCUAUUUUGUUGGUUUCUAGAAUUGAGAUAAUGAUUAAUAGGGACAAUUGGGGGCAUUCGUAUCAACACGUUAGAGGUGAAAUUCUUGGAUCGUGUUGCGACGAACUACUGCGAAAGCAUUUGCCAAGGAUGUUUUCAUUGAUCAAGAACGAAAGUAAGGGGAUCGAAGACGAUUAGAUACCGUCGUAGUCUUUACCAUAAACUAUGCCAACUAGAGAUGGGACAUCGUUCACUUAAGACUUGUUCCGCACCUUAUGAGAUAUCAAAGUCUUUGGGUUCCGGGGGGAGUAUGGUCGCAAGUCUGAAACUUAAAGGAAUUGACGGAAGGGCACCACCAGGAGUGGAGCCUGCGGCUUAAUUUGACUCAACACGGGGAAACUCACCAGGUCCAGACAUAAUAAGGAUUGACAGAUUGAUAGCUCUUUCUUGAUUUUAUGGGUGGUGGUGCAUGGCCGUUCUUAGUUCGUGGAGUGAUUUGUCUGCUUAAUUGCGUUAACGA